GGUCCGAUGGUGUAGUUGGUUAUCACGUCAGUCUAACACACUGAAGGUCUCCAGUUCAAGCCUGGAUCGGAUCA
Molecule: transfer RNA, 74 nt
Filed under: Parathielavia hyrcaniae
Lineage: Eukaryota; Fungi; Ascomycota; Sordariomycetes; Sordariales; Chaetomiaceae
Also listed under: 3 other names
Description: tRNA-Val
Rfam family: tRNA
About the family: Transfer RNA (tRNA) molecules are approximately 80 nucleotides in length. Their secondary structure includes four short double-helical elements and three loops (D, anti-codon, and T loops).
Source: RNAcentral